RNAcentral lists this unclassified non-coding RNA (4080 nucleotides) under Leishmania donovani. Its description in RNAcentral is "gene:LdHU3.31.4910(CDS-product:phosphatidylinosit ol-4-phosphate_5-kinase-like_protein)". Lineage: Eukaryota; Euglenozoa; Kinetoplastea; Trypanosomatida; Trypanosomatidae. The record is from RNAcentral.
AAAGCAAAGCUUCUGACUACAUGAGCAUAAACUCGUCUGCACAGGCGGCAGCGCCAGCUCCAGCGACUCCGAAAGGAUCAGCGUCGGAUACCGUCGGUACACUUACUACCGCAGGCAACGAGCCAACAGUGAAGAAGAAAAAGAAGCUCUUGAAUGGCGCCAACAUCAAGUUCACUUUCCCCAGCGGCGCCACAUACGAGGGAAGUUUCAGGGAUGGGAGGGUCGAAGGAUACGGUGUCUACACUUACGCCAAAACCGGCGAUGUCUACGAGGGCGAGUGGAAAGCAGACCUCAAGCACGGUCAGGGCUGCUACACCUUCGCGAACGGCGACAAGUACACUGGACAGUGGUACAUGGGCAAGAAGCAAGGAAAAGGGCAGUUUGUUUUUGUCAAUGGGAACGAGUAUGUCGGCUCAUGGAGGAGGAAUGAAAUGAACGGCUACGGUCUCUUUUUGCUCGCGUCGAACGGUGACCGCUACGAAGGCUAUUGGAACGAGGGCGUCCGGCAAGGGGAGGGGUGCCUCUACUACGGCAACGGUGACUUGUACGACGGUGAGUGGUGUAGCGGCCAGCAGCAGGGCCUCGGCGUUUUUUUGCAAUCGAAUGACGACUUGUACUGUGGCCAGUGGGAUGCCGGGGUCAUGGACGGAAAAGGCGUCUUGCGAGAAAAGGGCAUCCUCUUCCUUGUCGAAUACGUAGGAGGCUACCUCAUUUCAAAGCAAAGGCAGAGCGAUGCCCUCGACGAGACAGAAAAGGAGUGGGCGCCUGCCUACCGACAUUAUCUUGCCUGGAUUGAACGUCACCAAGCUCCGGCUGCGUCAACGCUAACGGCGAAGGAACACAACAAGCUAAGAGACGAACUUCAAGCAGCCCUCGCUGAAAACAGCAUUCUUCGAAAGCGUCUCGAAGACCUACUUGCCCUGCAUCGGCCGAAAGCUCUCUCGGAUAACUCAGGCGGAGAGUCACCUUCUACACUUCUUUCGGCUGCUCUGGAGGAGGCUGGCGCAGAGUACUGGAAGGAGUCACUGCGGAAGCUCGAGAGCAGGCUAAAGCUACUUGAGUGCACACUUGCCGAACGUGUUGUGGAGGUGCGGAAGCUUAGAGAGCAGCUCAAAAAGAGCGAUGCCAAAGUGCGCGAGCUGGAGCUCGAAGACACACGGCGCAAGGUGUGGCUUCGUGGCACGAAGGAUAAAAGUGCGAAGGAAACGCCGCUAUUCAACGCACAAGCGCCAUCUGCGCCCCCAGGACUCCUAGACAUGGACAUUAUCGACGCCAACGAGGUGGAUCAGCUGAGGGAGCAGAACGCUGGGCUGAUGCGGCUGAACGAAGAGCUGCAGCGGAAGGCAUCCUUUCUCGCGACCGAAAACGCAAAGCUUGCCUUGAAGGAGGAAGCCGCCGAAGAGCAGUACGACAAACUCAUGGAGGAAGUGGAGAGGUUGCGGGUGACUUUGGAAAAUGAAGGCCGCGUCAACAUGAGUAUUGAGCCGCUGAAAACUGGAGACAUUGCUGCAACAGCAGCAGUGUCAGAGUCCGUAGCAGUAGGGGUGUCUUCACCGGUGCUACCCCCGUUUUCACCCGAGAUGAGCUUAGCACAUGAAGAGCUUCAGCAGAGGCUCAUGCAGGCCAACCAGCUGAACAUCGAGCUGCGGCUUAGAAUGGGCAAACUGGAGCGAACAGCUCAGUCGAAACCAAGCGUCGCUGGACUCUCCUCAUUCACUCCGGAGGCUUCGGAACUCGCGCGUGAGAAUGAGAUGCUGCGCUCUGUAGUAGCCAGUCUUAAAGCAGAAUUAGCGGUGAUACAGAGUGGUUUGAACGAUGCAAAGCAGCAAAUUGCUCUUGCCCAUCAGCGACAGGUAGAGCUGGAGGAGUCCAUGAAGAUGAUCACACACCGCAAAGCAGCCAACCCGCAGUUGCAUGAGGCGCUGGAGCGGAAAUCUGCGCGAAUAGCGAAUCUAGAACUGGAAAACGCAGAGCUCGCACGACUGUUGGACGAGACCCGUGCAGACCUGGAGGAGAGGCAGGCAAUAUCUUUGGAAACGAAACAGCAGUCGAGUUUCGGAUCGUCGACCGUCGGCGGCGCACUCAACGAGCUCGAGUUCGCUCAAAAGGAGGUAAAAAAGCUGCAGAGGCGAAUAAAGAAGUUCACGGGCGAGCGAAACAGUGUGACAGAGCAGGUUUACGAGUUGCAAAUGCGGUUGGCUCGCACCGAUCGAACCCUCAGUGCACUACAGGGCCGGGUUACCGUGUUCGCCUCCAUCGCUGGCGAUGGUAUCAGUGGUGCAGCAGUGGCAGAUGUGGCCGCGAGAGUCGAUGCCACCGAUUCCACGAAGCUGGUGGUGUGUGACUGUGGAGAGGAGACAACCUACCAGUACGACUACUGCUUUGAUAAAGAUGCCUCCGUGGAGCAAGUCUUCGCUGAGCUUUGCGGCCCUUUGGCUUUUGUGUGGUCGGGCUACCAGUUGGCGCUUAUGACGGUCGGCGGGUUUCGCUCAGGGAAGACCGGCCUCGUGAAAGAGAUCCUUCCUCUUUUCACGAAAUACCUGUCAAAGGAAGCGGGAGAGAAACCACAACGCUUGUUUUUCAGCUUCACCUACCGUGUCGCCGUUGUUGAGAUUUCUGCGCGUGGAGGCUUCGACUGUGCAUCGGGAGACAACGUCACGGAGGUGUGCUGCGAUUCGAACGGAUUUGUGCAGCCAAAGAACGUGCGCUUCGUCGACUGCACAAGUGGUAGCAUUCCCAUUGUGAUCGACAACCUUCUUGCCAAACGGCGGCAGCACUACAACGGCCGCUCACAUACCUGGAUCCAGCUCCAGUGUGUACGGACAAGCGUCGCGCGCCAGUGCCAGACAGUUGGCCGACUGACCAUUUUUGAUUGGUGCGGCAGCGCUUUGCUUGCAUCGCAGAAGAAGGACAUCGAGAGCGCGCGCUUUGCGAACGCGUCUAGCCAGGGUCUGCGAGACCUCGCCACAGCACUCGCGGGCGAGCUGCCUGUGAUUCCGUACACAAAAUCUGUAGAGACUUCGCUGCUGUUUGACUUGCUCGGUGGCAAUUCGAUAACUGCGGUGGUUGGCCGCAUACGAUCCUCCACGGAGCACAUCGAGGAGACCCUUCGAACACUUCAUGUUUUGACUUCUCUCUUCGGUGUGUGCAACGGACCUCUAGUGCCGGACAAUCAAACCAGCGAUGAGAUUCGUUGGCAGGGUCUUGUUGCAGCGCUGUGCUCCGACCACCAAGCGGAGAGAGAGCUGAAGGCGGUUGAAAACAUCCGGGACUUCUAGAGCAAUGCGGGUCUCUUUUGUGCUACAAAAUGUACAUACCUUACGGGUUCUUCCCUUCCCAUUGCUUGCUUUGUCGUAUCAUAACUCCAUCUUAGCAGCAUGUGAACAGCCUUUUUCUUGAGCACGUCUUGAGGUGUUCUUCCUUGAAGGCUCUCUGCAAGAGCACCAAAGGAAGGGCUUACCGCAAAGCGAUGUAAAGCGAGUAAAGACUCCCCGUCAUUUCCAUUGGCAUGCUUCGCCAAGCGCUCACCUUCUCUGUACCCUGCUAUGCUCUUCUUCUUUCAGAUCUUGAGGAACCGAGCCCUUGUAGGCCUUUGCGGUUUUCCUACCACGACAGGGUGUCGUGGGUGAUGCAAAAAAGGCGGGAUACGUGUGUGUACCUAUUUGCUCGUAGUGUUGUCCAGAGCGCGAAUGGAGGGAGAGCAGAGUGGUAUACUGUUGCACGGAAAGCGGAAAGUCGCCAGUUAGAGUGAGGUGUGAAGAUGUAUUGCAAUGCAUCGUGCCUUCGACGUCAUUCUCUCUCCCUUUUAUUCUUUCCCACGUGGCUGCUCUGUGGCUGUCGCGACUGCAUUGUGACUGGCUGCAAGCUGCUUUAGCGGCGUAGCCAUGCACAUCUGUAACUGCUGUGUCUUCAUUCUCUUUUUUCUUCUCGUAGUGCUGAGAGGAUCCUACAGCACCCAUUCACCAUUUCUUUGCUUGGAUCACAAGGCCCAACACACACACACGCACACACAAUGCCGUUUCUCGAUAGCGUAACACUGCAUGACUUUGAAGCUGUAGACGUGCACUGUGACUGCUCCCG